Molecule: ribosomal RNA, 87 nt
Filed under: uncultured bacterium
Lineage: Bacteria
Description: partial 16S ribosomal RNA
Source: RNAcentral
UNACGAAAGUGGGGUUGGUUACUAGAAAGUCUGCAGGCUGACCCGCAAGGGAGGCAGCGGCCCAAGGUAUGACUCAUGAUUGGGGUG